GUGCCCCGUGUCUGGCCCCACCCCCCACCGCCACCACCAGCAUCUCCCGCGUGGCUCACGGGACGCCCCCAGGUGCCCUCCUGGCCCUCUCCCCGCAGCCAAGCCCCCUAGGAGCGAGACUGCCUGGCCAGGUUGGCCUGGGGGCUGUGCGGCAGCAGGGUUCUGUUCUGUCUCCCAGCGGGAGGGGCUGUGACCUGUGGUCCUCCUGACCCCCCUCCCCCGCUGCGCAGUCUGACCUCCUAGCCGUGCAGGCGGCUGGGGCACUGCUCCAUGUCAUGGCAGUUGCAAGGCAAGCUGUGCUGUUGGCGCCUCCUACCAGCUCCUCUCGGGCCCAGCGUGGCCAGAGGGGCUUCCCGUCUGCCUGAGCUCAUCCACUGAGCGUUCCUCGCAAGGACCCCACACCCUCGGAGCAGGGCAGGAUCACCCACAGUUACGAGCCUUCCCUAGGACAUGCACCUGCAGGCCCCUGGGGAGCUCUGUGUUCUGAAUUCUAGAGCAUCAGUUCUCCAGCCACCCCCAUCUUCACCCGCUACCCCCAGGAAAUGUUCUGCUCUGGCCGGCAGAGUUCUCCCCAGAUGUCACUCCUCGCCACUGGCACAUGCCAGGGAGGGUCUGUGCUGGAGCUGCUCACGUGCCCUCCCCUCCCCGGCCUCCUGUGCUGGUGGCCGGGGGGGCCACAGGGUCGCUAAGAGCAAGCCUGAGUGUCUUGGGGUCUGCAGAAAGCAACUGGGACCAGAACAGGGCCCGCGGCGGGGCUUGCCUGCACCCUUCCUCCGUUUGCCCUCAUGCCCACGUGGCUCUUGGUGUCUGAGAUCCUGGAAGCCUGGGCUCGGGUUUGGGUGCACCCCCUCACGGCGUGAGGCAGCCCCCCGCGCCUCGACCCAGGCUCCACUGGCUGGGGAGGCCGUAGGAAGGCCCUCCCCCCCCACUGGUGCGUCCCUGGCCGUCCCCAUGCAGGGCGGGUCUUGAAGCGUGGUGCCCAGCUCACUUCCCUGGCGACGGGGCUGUGCGCCUGCCUGGCUUCGGUCUUGAAGGCCCCCGUCUCCUGUGGGGCUCCGGGCCAACCCCAUGUGCUGGGUGAGGCAGGCUUCCCCCUCUUGCCCACCCCCGUCUCUUGCGGGGCCAGCUCACCCGGGCCCCCCCACUGCAUGCAUGCAGGACUCUGACCCCACACCUACCCAGCCAUGUCUUGAACACAGGGCAGGUUCCGCGCCAGAGUAGGGGAUCAGGGGAUGCCGCCCGGGGGCCUGGUGCUGGCCGAGUGGGCAUGCAACAAGAUCCUGGCUGGAAAGAGAGGGCCGCCCCCAGCCUGUUCACCGGGAGGUGUUCACCGGGAGGGACUGUGCUGUGCCGUUCUGUCUCUGUAACAUAAAUACAGAUUUUAAGCCUCGCCUCUGUCUUCCCGUUCUUUCCGUCCCUGUGUUGGGCUUCCCUCCCCAGUGCCCUGGGCGGCCUCGGCGGUCCUCACCACCGUAUCGGGAGCCUCGGCUUUCUGGGAGACCCUGCAGACCACGGGCCUCCCCUUCCUAGGAGCCGGCCUCUGGGACCAGCGUCAGAGCUGCCUCCCUGGACGUCCCCUGGAGGUGAAGGUGGGGCUGAGGUGGAAGCCAUCCCCCUGCCAUCCUGGGUCUGUUUGCCAGGCGGGAGGUCUUGCUGCCAGCCUCAGACUCAGCCCCUGGGGCUGGGGCACUGCCCAGGGACAGGGGGGCCCUCAGGGCGUCCCGGGCCGGCCAGCUGAGCGUUGCCGGCGCCUCAGCCACCGCCGUGUCAUGUGCCCUUCGCGCAUGGCGGCCACUGGCUCAGGGCAGCUCUGGGAGAAGCCCCGGGACCUGGCCUUGGUGUCUCCAGAACGCCCUGUUGUGCAGGUGGGGGUGUGAGGCCCCAGGGGUGGAGAGCUGGGGUGGGGCUUUCCUGGGAACCAGCCUGCGAUCCCGGCUGGCCGCAGCCCAGUGAGGUGGCUCCCUGAGGUCUGCGGGCAGGUGAGGGGCGCCUGCGGGAGGGGAUUUGGAGGGACCCCUGGGUACUCUGAGUUCCUCCUCCGUCCCCCAGCAGAAAGCAGUACUCCAGCCUCUUGUACUGGGCAAGUCCCUGGGGGCACCUCUAGGAGAGAAGAGAACCCUGCCAGGAACACAGCUGGGGCCUUGAGCCACCAGCACUUGGGCCUGAAUGAGAAUGCGGAUAUCUGAAUUCCAACUGUUACUAUGAGUUUAAAUCACUACCACUUUAAAAAAAAAAUUCUUAAUUUUUUUGGCUGAGCCACACAGCAUGUGGGAUCUUAGUUCCCCAACUAGAGACUGAACCCGUUCCCCCAGAGUGGGAAGUGUGGUCCUAACCACAGGGCCACCGGGAAGGCCUUCCACCUCUUACUGAGGGCAUGAGCGCUUCAGCUGAUGGGUGCUGAGGCCCUCCCCCGGCCCGUGUCACAGGAAGCCGCGUCUCAGGCAGGGCACCUGCCUUCCUCGGGUCACCUGCCGGAAGGUGGUGCCCUGUGACCUGACCCUAGCCCUCUGGGAAGCCUCCACCACCGGAUGCCUUGAGUUUAUAGCCAGGCCCCCUCACCCCACACCCAGGCGGGCCACCUGCCCAUGCUCUCCUUGGUGGCCAGAACAGCCUCCGGUGGUUUUUCUGCCCCGUCGCCUCCAGGAUUAAACCCAGCUGCCUGCCUUCUCCCCAUCCAUUCCUGUGCCUUCGGCUCAGCCCGAGCCCACCCCGGCCCCCUCUGCCCUCCGCACUCCCCUCUGUUCGAAGCUCGAUCUUCCUGUCAGUUUUUAAGGCCGCGAUUUGGCUGCCCAGCUCGGUGCUCGUCUAAGCUGGUUGCUCAGGCUGGGCACUCCUCUCCUUGCCCAGCGCCUUGCUAGACCAGGCCUGCAGGGCACUAGCCCUGGCGGGAUCUCUUGCCCAUUUAGUCCGCAGUGGCUCUCGCCCGCUCCUUCCUCGUUGCCUCCUGGCCUGUCCUGAUGCUCUUUACUGGACCCCACACCCCCUCCAGCAGCUCCGGUGCCCCAGCCCCCACUCCGCCCCCCCGCCCCACCCCCCCCCCACCC
RNAcentral lists this long non-coding RNA (3044 nucleotides) under Ovis aries (sheep). RNAcentral's name for it is "lncRNA (ENSOARG00000026625.1)". Lineage: Eukaryota; Metazoa; Chordata; Mammalia; Artiodactyla; Bovidae. The record is from RNAcentral.